ACUCCUACGGGAGGCAGCAGUGGGGAAUAUUGCACAAUGGGGGAAACCCUGAUGCAGCCAUGCCGCGUGUGUGAAGAAGGCCUUGGUUGUAAAGCACUUUCAGUAGGGAGGAAGGUAGUGUAGUUAACACCUGCAUUAUUUGUACGUUACCUACAGAAGAAGCACCGGCUAACUCCGUGCCAGCAGCCGCGGUAAUACGGAGGGUGCGAGCGUUAAUCGGAAUUACUGGGCGUAAAGCGCAUGCAGGCGGCCUGUUAAGUCAGAUGUGAAAGCCCGGGGCUUAACCUCGGAAUUGCAUUUGAAACUGGCAGGCUAGAGUCUUGUAGAGGGGUUAGGAAUUUCAGGUGUAGCGGUGAAAUGCGUAGAGAUCUGAAGG
This 376-nucleotide ribosomal RNA is filed under the name uncultured bacterium. RNAcentral's name for it is "bacterial SSU rRNA". It matches the Rfam family "Bacterial small subunit ribosomal RNA", at positions 335 to 704 of the family's 1533-position model. The record is from RNAcentral.